CACAAGUUAGCUCAGAGGGUAGAGCAACGGACUUGGAUCCGUCUGUCGAGGGUUCGACUCCCUCACUUGUUC
This 72-nucleotide transfer RNA is filed under the name Chloroflexota bacterium. RNAcentral describes it as "tRNA-OTHER". It matches the Rfam family "tRNA". From Rfam's summary of the family: Transfer RNA (tRNA) molecules are approximately 80 nucleotides in length. Their secondary structure includes four short double-helical elements and three loops (D, anti-codon, and T loops). Further hydrogen bonds mediate the characteristic L-shaped molecular structure. tRNAs have two regions of fundamental functional importance: the anti-codon, which is responsible for specific mRNA codon recognition, and the 3' end, to which the tRNAs corresponding amino acid is attached (by aminoacyl-tRNA synthetases). tRNAs cope with the degeneracy of the genetic code in two manners: having more than one tRNA (with a specific anti-codon) for a particular amino acid; and 'wobble' base-pairing, i.e. permitting non-standard base-pairing at the 3rd anti-codon position. Lineage: Bacteria; Bacillati; Chloroflexota. The record is from RNAcentral.